This 153-nucleotide ribosomal RNA is filed under the name Ipomoea nil (Japanese morning glory). RNAcentral describes it as "5.8S ribosomal RNA". It matches the Rfam family "5.8S ribosomal RNA". Rfam says of the family: 5.8S ribosomal RNA (5.8S rRNA) is a component of the large subunit of the eukaryotic ribosome. The record is from Rfam by way of RNAcentral. Lineage: Eukaryota; Viridiplantae; Streptophyta; Magnoliopsida; Solanales; Convolvulaceae.
GACUCUCGGCAACGGAUAUCUCGGCUCUCGCAUCGAUGAAGAACGUAGCGAAAUGCGAUACUUGGUGUGAAUUGCAGAAAUCCGGUGAACCAUCGAGUCUUUGAACGCAAGUUGGCCCGAAGCCGUUAGGAGGGCACGUCUGCCUGGGCGUCA